CCCACAAGCUAAACUAAACCCACUGCCACCUCCAAAUUCUUGCUUCAUUAACAUAUCCAUUUUUCUAAAGUACGCCCAUUUGCUAUUAUUAACACCUUUUGCCUUCUCUUUUUUAUAUUUUCUCUUCAAAACAUCCAUCAUUAGUUUACACUGAGCUUCUGUUCUCUUGAUUUUUGAUGACUCCGACACUUUCUCUGCUACCUCGACCCAGUCAUCGGAUCUUAGGCUGUUCCUGCCCAAUUGCAAGAACCUAUCUCCCCAAACCUCCAAAAGCACGAAUUUCUCGUGCUCACUCCAAUCCGGGGAGAAAUUACCGUCCUCAUACGACAACAAUCUCCCACUUCUCGGAACGAAUUCAUAAUUGGAAACGGAGCUUUUCAGCUUUUGCCUCUUCGGGUAUCUAU
This 404-nucleotide unclassified non-coding RNA is filed under the name Hevea brasiliensis (rubber tree). The record is from RNAcentral. Lineage: Eukaryota; Viridiplantae; Streptophyta; Magnoliopsida; Malpighiales; Euphorbiaceae.